This 504-nucleotide long non-coding RNA is filed under the name Carica papaya (papaya). Its description in RNAcentral is "long non-coding RNA (CPAP_LNC003030)". The record is from RNAcentral. Lineage: Eukaryota; Viridiplantae; Streptophyta; Magnoliopsida; Brassicales; Caricaceae.
UACAUAUUAUAAAUCCAUAUCCAUUAUCAACAAACUAAACAGUAACUAUCACUCUUUUCACCAGCAUGCUGGUAUCCAUGGGGGUUCAUAGGGAUACUCCUGCUACACGUGAACCCUUUCAUUUAUCAUUAUCAAUUAUAGGCCGUCUCCAUACCUCGUCUGGUAUGAGUACCAAUUUACCAAACCUCAAUACCCCAUUCGGUAUGAGGGUGAAGCGGGCCAUCCCCAUAUCUUGUCUGGUAUGAGCGCCAAAUUAUCAAGUCUCCAUACUCCAUCCGGUUUGAGACAACGUUCACGGUAGGAUUCCCUAUGUACUCGGUUCGUCCACUAUCUCUCAGGAUAUCCAGUAAGACUGCUUUUUAAUCUAAUCAUUUAAUCACACAAUUUUUUUAUUGUUUAAACUUCAUUUUUUCUGAUUCAGUAAUAAACACGUAAAAUAAACCAUGCAUACGUUCAAAGCCAUAAAAUGAAUAAAUAAGAUACCAUCAUGCAUGUAAACUAUAA